GAUCUCGUAGCUCAGCUGGUAGAGCAGUACACUUUUAAUGUACGGGUCCUGGGUUCGAGUCCCAGCGGGGUCA
RNAcentral lists this transfer RNA (73 nucleotides) under Cryomorphaceae bacterium. RNAcentral describes it as "tRNA-Lys". It matches the Rfam family "tRNA". Rfam says of the family: Transfer RNA (tRNA) molecules are approximately 80 nucleotides in length. Their secondary structure includes four short double-helical elements and three loops (D, anti-codon, and T loops). RNAcentral also lists the same sequence under 1 other name. Lineage: Bacteria; Pseudomonadati; Bacteroidota; Flavobacteriia; Flavobacteriales; Cryomorphaceae. The record is from RNAcentral.